This is a long non-coding RNA of Halichondria panicea, 7008 nucleotides long. RefSeq lists it as uncharacterized. NCBI's taxonomy places the organism in Eukaryota, Metazoa, Porifera, Demospongiae, Suberitida, Halichondriidae. The record is from RefSeq and is a predicted model, not a curated record. The transcript is spliced from 7 exons.
AAGGAAUGAGAAUCCUACAGUGCAACAGUGUGUUAGAGUGCAAAAAUCCCAGGCUCUAAACCCUGUAAGGGGUAAUACUGGUCGCAAAAGAGCAUUACAUGAUGAUACUCCCCUUCCUAAACGCUUCCUAAACGCAAACGGAACAAGAAAUAGCAUUAUAAAAUAUUAUCAUUCCAUGCACAAAAGAAUCACAGUAUUUUCAAUAAUUAAUUUUAUCACAGUAUUAGUUUUUGUGAUUACCUAGCUACUAGAACUUGAAGUCCCACUGACAGACUUUCGUAGUCCUGUUGAUUUUUGGGUGUUUCUCUUUUGAUCUGUCUUAUACACAUGUUGCCACAAUUGAGAAACCACGAAUUGUUAUCCAAAGCUGUAAGCUGUUCACUGUCUUCAAGAUUACUAAUAUCUAGGCUUAACAGAGCCCAGUAAAACUGCAACUCUUCGUUUUCCAAUAUUUUCUUGAGAACAUUCUCUUGAAAUUUGUCUUUAUCACAUGUGGUACGUAGAUAUGUAGAUAUGUAGGGAGCAAAGAACGAACACAAGUUUCUAUGUGAGCAAACAAUGUAUCAUUGAUUGGGAAAAGACCACCUCUAUUAGUUUGUUCUAGCGUAUAGGAUCAUCUUCCUUCUCCUUCUUUGACCUAAACACUGUAUAUACUGAGACUCUACAUCACCAUCUUUCUUUUCAUGUCUUUUGAGCAAUGUGCGGGCAACAUAACCACCAACAUAAUUAUCGAACAACGUUAGCUUCAUGUGUAGUGAGUUCAACGUUAUCGUCAGUGAGUGCACAACGAUAUUUAGCAAAGUAUGUAUACAAGCAUUUUUCAUACACCUUUUCAAAGCGACUGCUUUAAUAGAGGGUCGUUAUCACUCACAUUAAGUUUGGUUGCCAAUGUUUCCCACAUCAGGCAGUCUUUCAUUCUAUGAAAUAGAGACCAUAGCCUUUCCUUCUUAGAGCUCAAUGAUUGUAGUCUUGCAGUGGAAGACUUUAUUUCAGAUUGGAAGUAAUUUACGAGUUCUGAGCUGAACUUGCCAGUAUUUCUGGCUCUUUCAGUUUCUGCUUGUCCAAUAUGAGUUGUGCUGCAUGCCUUGCCUUAGUAGACCUUUCAUGGCAAGAAGACAUGCCUGCUUCUAGUGAGGUAGUGACAAUUUCCACAGCGAUCUUCUAGACAUUUUUAGGCGCCAAUCUCGCGCGCAAUGUCAACAGGAUGGACAGUUGCAAAAAUUGUUGAAUUAUCGACCCUGCUUGAAAAUGAAGACACCAGCAACGCUGCUCGAAAUUUGACCAAUAUCCGUCAACAGUUGACAGAUUUCAUUCGCUCUCUUUCCCGACACAAGAGAACAGCUGCUAGUAAUGUUUACGUCUUAAUGAUUAGCAGCGAGCAAAGACGGGUCAAGCCAUAUGCUAUCCCUAUCCAGCUUCUCCAAUCAACGAGGAUACCAUGCGUAUCAUAGUUCGUGCAGUACUGAAAGUCAUGAAGGAAUGAAAGUCGUUGGUAAGUGUAAAUAAAUGUAAAUAAAUGUUAGCCUAACACCCUGUAGGAUGUGGUAGCAGUUCAACUCUAUGAGGAAUCGAGGAUAUACAAGGCCCAUCUCCGUCCCAAAAUUAGAGCUAAAUAUGCUCGUCUGUCCGAAAGUACCAUGCUGGCCAUGCUUACCGUUGUUACUUUCCAGUAUGUGCAAGUCAACUGAUUGUAGCUGAGAAACCAAACUCAGUGGUACCACCAUCAUUGCUCUGUGAAUUGCUACUGUGGCGAUCUGUUCAGUCUCUUUCCUGGGAUGACAUUGUUUCACGUCUUCGUUCACGAACAGUUCCAAGUGGAUACGUCUAUCAUGCUUGGAAAUCAUGCUUGGAAAGACGAUGAUUAGUAUAUACCUUUUUAACGUCCUGUAACAGUAUACAUGCACAGUAUACAUGCACAACCAUGCAAUAUAAUUAUUAAUAUACAUGUACAGGAAUGUACGUACCUAUUAUGUAUACGCAGGACAAAAGAUUGAAUGUGAAGAGAAUGUUGACAAACUCAGGUCUAUUUUGGCCCAACUGGAGUUUACCCAGACUAUCCGUGACUAUGACUAGAAAGGUGCUUACAUGUCCCAGAAACACAUCCGGACACAGGUCACACUUGGUAUGAGAGGGAAGAUCCAGGUCAUGUGGAGAAGGUUUGUCUGUUGUACGUGCACAUGCAUUGUAUUAAGAGAAUGGCGAAUUGUACUAGACAGGGUGGACCUAAAACCGUCAAGUUUGAACGAUAUGUCGAGGCAAUCCAAGAAAAACUGGCCUCACCUACCCCGCUCUUGUUGGGCUUCGCAAGCAUGUGCAAGAUGCGGAGAUGCGGAGAGGAUGUUUUCUUUGCCUCUAGCUGAGUUCAUGGACCGGAAAGGUUACACUGAAGAGGCUAAAUACAUCUAUGCCGUCAAUGGUUGGAGGAGGGCUGCUGAUGAAAGAGGGCUUUCAAGUCUGCAAGUUAAUGCCGUGGCAUUCCAACCUAGAGGUCAACAAGAGUAUCACUGGUAUUUGAGGAUUUACACGACAAGUUUUGAUUGCGAAACUAUUGAAUUCAGACGAAUUGAGCUUCUGGAAGGAUUGCCAGCAGAACAUCCUCGUGCAAGAUGAUGUGGAGUGCUUUUUCAGCGUCACAAGAGAUCUUGUGGGCAAGAAUUUUACCCUCAAACAGGCCCAGAUCGGGUGGAGGAAGAUAUGUUGCAACCCCGACUUACCAUUCUACUAUGAGGGUGAGAGACCUUCUUUCGACGAUCAACCAGCAAGGCAGAAGAAGGGCCAACGACUGCCAGUCGUGGAAGCAGGAGCCGAAGUGGUAGAGAUGUGAGAGCAAGAGAUGUGAGAGCAAGGUUCCACAAUCCAGUGUUCCUAUUAACGUCACUGAACAUUCCUACCGUUCAGACUCUCAAAUUAUAGUAGCUGAACAGUCAUUUAUUGUUAUCUGUUAAAACAUUUGAACUUUCAUAAUUAUAGUAGCCGAACAGUCAUUAAUUGCUAUCUGUUAACGGUUCAAUUGGGUGUGACUACGUGUGAAUAUACACGACUAUGUAUUGCUAUGAAAAUGUACUUCUUGCUUCUCUUACUUUCUCCAGUUUUUGUUGCAUAAAACUUCCUCAAGAUUUUGUACUUAACCCAUGCAAAAUCGACUGACAAAACAACAUCAUUGUCGAUUGCAGCUUGAACGUCCUUACAAAUCUCCGAGACCAUUCACUGUCAUGAAAACAUUUAAAAGCAAUUGCACUAGCAUCAUAGAGAUUUUCUGGCUCUGGAAAUAGCUUCACUGGUACAGUAUCACCUGACUGCAUCUUAUCUCGUACAUCGCCAAGAAUGGUCUGGUACACUGGAUCUCGGGUAACACCAAUGCAUUUACACAACUUUGGGGGGGUGUUUCUUCAUUAGAGCUUUGACUGUCAUCACCAUCAUAGUCAUUGUCAUCUUCAUCCUCCGAGUGGCUUGUCCACUCCCACUCCCAAACAAUCCUUUCUCUGGAACACUUCUCAGGUGCCUCGCGUAUACAACCUUACAGAAUUCCUCGACCUGUAGUAUAAUAAAAGCCGGUACAAGGUACAAUAAUUAUAGAUUUAUACACUAUAGCUAGCAGAAUGGAGUGGUGGUGUUUUGGAAGGCUAUGGUGAGAGUGAAUAAAAACGUCCUUGCCUGAGAGAGACGUGAAUUACCGAGAAACUCGGUAUGGUGUACAUAAAAUCCACACUCAGGUCCAACACUGACAGACUCAUUAAUCCGAGGCGCGUUUAUAGUAGUCUGUCUGUUUGUUUGUUUGUAACGAGUAUAUCUACUCACCUGGAUGCCAUAGCACUGCGUUUGCAGCAUAGGUAGUCUUCACACAACAAUAUCUUGGUUUAAAUAGUGGCAGAUUUUGAUGUUAAAGCUUCUUUGUCGAGUAAAAGCGAGCAAAAGCUAAGAAGCUUAAACUUGCCACGUGGCCUUGAGUCAAGGUACGGGAUCACUUCAGCUAAAAAUAUCUAGUCAAGGCUUGAUUAUGUAUUUUCAGCUGAAGUGAUCCCGUACCAGGAACAAUUGAAUACUGUCAAGAAAAAGUAGAAUUGUGUGACUAAGGUUGUUGACUGACUCUGGAUCCUAUACGUACUCCAGCCUGGAAGGAGCCAUACUUCUCUUAGUCUAAGACUCCAGGCUUCUUUGCUGUGAUCCCAGUCCAUGUGCACGUUGUUACUUUAGUUUUGAGUUUUGUUUUAUUGCUCCUGAGUUGCUCCUGAGUUGCUGUGCAAGUCAUACAUGUACAUGAUAAAUACAUGUACAUGAUAACAACAUCACUAUAUGCACUGCAUUAUAUUUCUGGUUGCUUUUUAAUCAUGUCACCAGCCGAGGGUUUGCACUUUAGUGCUCUAGUUCCAUCUGCAAUGGUUACUUCAUAAUCAUUGACAGGCCCAGGCCCAGAUGCCAUUUCUUUUUUAUGCCUGCUGAUUCAGCAUAAUUCCGUUCCACGUGGGAUGGAAUUUUAUUUGUUAAAAAUAAUUAAUAAUAAUAGGGAAAUUUUUUUUAGUAUCCUACUUAUUAUAUCGGAGUCUUACUUAUUAUAUCGGACUCCUACUUAGGACUAGUAUAUUGGACUCUUACACUAGUGUGUUGAAUAGCACACUACUUUUCACUACUAAAUUUUAGUGUGUGUGUUCACUGAUGUGUGUGUUCACUGACACUCGAUUGUGUGUAAUAGAACACUCAACUGCACAGUGUGUAACAGUUUAAGUACAAGGUGCUAAUGUUAAAGAAUUUUACUCAAUGACAUUGCUCUAAAAUCUCAUUGGUUAGUUUGUAGUUUUCUCACUUCACUGCCACAUGUUUCUCUUUGAAACUCAAGAGAACCAGCUUGGAGAAGUUGGAGCUAGCUGAAGCAACAACUUGAUCUAGUCUAGAUAUAAUAUAAUGAUAUAAUAGUAUCUACCAGUUCUCCAAGGUCUUUUGGUCAAAGAGAGAUCAAUCCAGCACCCAAAGAGGCGAGGACACGAGUGUAUCAAAGCAAGACAGCUGUACAUAUAGCCAUAUAGCCCCAUAUAGCCAGGAGUACUCAGUCCUGAUAAUAGCAGCCAUUUGUUAUACACUAUAGAGGUAUAUCUUUUUACACAGGGAGCUUGUCUACAUGUCUAUGCCAUGCCAGUGAAUAAGAACCAAGAACAAUGUCAAUUCUUGAUGCUGAAGAAUGUGGAGACAAACAUGAAGAGCCCAUGACAAGCAUGGUAUCCGUCAGACUGCUCAGUGUGACCAAAUGGAAAAUCUAAGUGCGAUCAAACCGUACCUUUGGGUUACUACCAUCACUGGUAAUCAUGAAGCCUCUCUUGCACUCCUUGCGAACAGUACGACCUCUCUAUCGUCACGGUGGUACCGCAUUCUUCUCCGCAUGUCCAGAUGCAUAAUUAUGCUCGGCACCUCACUAUUCUGCUCAGCAGAUUUAGCCCCAGAAAACGAGUUGAAGCCGCUGAUGUUCACCAGUCUCUCUCUAGUAAAAUGACAUUCUGAAGAAUGUUCAUGUUACUGGGGUCGAUAGAGUGGCUGUUUCAAGUGUCAAAGAACGAAAAAAGCCCUUGAGAAAGCCCAGUUUUAUCGGGAUCUUGCCGAACGUAUACAAACUGAGAAGCGUAAAAGAGUGUAUGAACUAAAUGACAAGAUUGAAUUGGUUCGGAACUUUUGGCGUAACAAAGUAUGCAAAGGUUCCUCAAGAGCAGAUUGUACAGAAAGCCUUAUUGAAGAAUUGAAGAAUAGGUUCCGUACUAUAAUUAUAAUUGUUAUGUUCAUUCGUGAUAUCAAAUCAUAAAUUAUAAUAGUGUGCAUUAACAAGAAAUGUGCAUUAACAAGAAAGGACAAAGUACAUGAAAUUACGUAUAACACCUAAUAGCGUGCAUUAACAAGAAUGCUAUGAAUUAUUGGACAUAUAUAUAAGGUACAUUUAAUUUCAUAAUUAUUAUCUAUAAAAGGGGUGAAAUUAUUAAAACAGAGUCUUCUCCUAUCCUUCUACCAAAGUUGACCUUUUGCUUAGAAUAAGCCUUGAGAUGAUCUAUCGGUAUGAAACAGACAUCUGGACAAGUAACACACGACCAAACUUCCGUAGGAUAUCCAAACCACACCACACUUUGCACUCGUGAGGAAAGUAGAAACAAAGAGCAGCAUAGUCAAGUCCAGUUUGACACACGUCAACGUCAAACGAGAAAAAGUACUGCAGGGACAGUAAAUUUGUAAAUUUCAUUAUAAAAAAUGAACGUUCGGUGAGUGACCUGUUUAAAGCUUCGUAGAGACCCAAAUUGGGUUGAAGUUGGCGCCUGUGAAAAAAAAUUUUUUUUGCCAUGUUUUUCAUUUCUACUAAAUUGGCCUAUAGCUUAAUUUAAUUAGUGCCGCGUUAAAGGGGGGUUUUCCUAGGCCAUAAAUAAAAAGUUUGCGUGAAACACUUAAUCCACGCAUGUGCAGGAAAAUUGAUGAAUAAGCUCAGAGGAGGCUGGAACCACUUGACCAUAGCUAAUUAAGGUCACUAAUUGGAUUUCUCCAAGCUUCUCUUGCACUACUUCAAGCCUAGUUUUUAGUGUGGAUAUAAUCAAAAGUAUAAUCAAAAGUCUUGCUCUUGUACUAGCCUGAGCGGCUUGUUCUCGAGGUCGCUGCACAGCUGGCUUUAAUGCUGCUUUUGUAAUUAUAGUAGCUAGCAGUCACAACAUACUCUUAGCCGUAAUGGCUAGCUCCAAGGUUGCAAUAACCAGUAGCUCUAUGCCUAGCCGCAGUAACAAACAAUUGCUUCUCCGCAUGUUUAACGCAAUCGUUUGAACAUGCAUUUUAUAAAACAGAACGGGAACUGAUUGAUACUGUACAGGCACAAAUACUCUGUUGUGGUACUUGCUUUGCUACCAGGCACAGUGCAGGUAUUGAAAGUGGGCUGAAACAGAAGGCCUGUUGUACUGUGGACUGGAUUAGUCGCACUUCGGAUAGGGACAUUAGAGACUGAUAGAGGGACUUCAGCAGACGUGCUUGGCGUAACACCGUUAGAGCGGGUAG